GAUGAACGCUAGCGGGAGGCCUAACACAUGCAAGCCGAGCGGUAGGGUCUCUUCGGGGACUUGAGAGCGGCGUACGGGUGCGUAACACGUGUGCAACCUGCCUCUAUCUGGGGGAUAGCCUUCCGAAAGGAAGAUUAAUACCCCAUAAUAUAAUGAUUGGCAUCAAUUAUUAUUGAAAACUCCGGUGGAUAGAGAUGGGCACGCGCAAGAUUAGAUAGUUGGUGGGGUAACGGCCCACCAAGUCGAUGAUCUUUAGGGGUCCUGAGAGGGAGAUCCCCCACACUGGUACUGAGACACGGACCAGACUCCUACGGGAGGCAGCAGUGAGGAAUAUUGGACAAUGGGUGGAAGCCUGAUCCAGCCAUCCCGCGUGAAGGACGACGGCCCUAUGGGUUGUAAACUUCUUUUGUACAGGGAUAAACCUCCCCUCGUGAGGGGAGCUGAAGGUACUGUACGAAUAAGCACCGGCUAACUCCGUG
Molecule: ribosomal RNA, 479 nt
Filed under: uncultured bacterium
Lineage: Bacteria
Description: bacterial SSU rRNA
Rfam family: Bacterial small subunit ribosomal RNA
Source: RNAcentral